AAUGCAAGAAAAAUUAAUGAAGAAUAUAAAAAAUGCAACUUACAAUUUAUUUGGCCAUGCUAUAUACACAAACAGAAAAUAAUCUCAACAAACAAGCUGGAUAAAACAGAGCCAUGUGAAAUUGCACAAUGGAGAAAAAGGUAUGAGUUAAGAAAGACAGCUUCUAAAAGACAAACAUUUAUAACAGGUAUUAAAGAAGCGUAUUGUUAGAUGGACAUUUAAGAAUGGUCAGUGGCAUCGCAAGCAGGAGGGUGCUAAAAAAUUAAUCCACCACUGCAUCUUUGUUAUGUAUCCUCUGGGCUCUGCAUUGCCAGAAGCACUGUAGAUGAUGCCCCAAAGUAUAAGAUAGGGUCUUAUCCUAUCUGAGAUAAGGAGACAGGCAAUACUAACACAGAAACAAAAGCAGGGGUCAGGAAACACAGAGAUAUUCUGUGUCAGACAGAUCAGGGAUAGAGUUCCCCAUUCCACCCUUACUAGCCUUUAGGCAAGUUAGGUAACUAAGUUCAGUGUUCUAAAUAUUACAUAAAAUAUUCCAUUAUUUCCUAAUUAAUGUUAUAAGGAAAUAGUUAAUAUGUAUUGCAUACUUGUUAUAGGCAAUAUAACAUGGACUGUUCUAUCUCAUUUAAUCAACACAUCUAUCCUAAUUGGUAUGUUAUUGUCAUUAUCACCCUUCUCCAGACGAAGAAACUGAGGCACAAACAGGCUCAGACCGUGUUCAGGAAAACACACCCAGUAAGUGGCAGAGGCGGAAUUUUAACAUAUUCAGUCUUAGCUUGGAGGAUUUGUUUCUGUAGAACUUAUUCUCCUGCUUCUCAAUAAGCAUCAUGUUGGUUCCAGUAAAUACAAAUGUCUAUUUCAUGGGAGCAGAGGAAUAGGACUGUGAGAUGAUGGAUCUGAAUAGACAAAAAGCCUUCCUAACAAGGCUGCUGUCCAGCAAGCCCUUCCAAAACCCAGGCACGUUAAAACUCCUAUGGACACACACACACACACACACACACACACACACACACACACACACAAUUCCAUUUAUGUGUGUGUGUAAAAUAGAGCAGAAUUUUAAGAGAAAAUAUACUCCCAUUACUACAGGGAUCCUUUUCCUUGCUCAAGUGAAAGUGUUGGUGGGAGUGAAGUUAAAAUUCUCAGCCUCUUCUCCUGCUCAAAAGCGGACAACCUGUCAAUCAGCAGGGAGGCACCUCACCCAGGAGUGGAAAGCAGUAACCUAACUGCUCCCUACCAAUUUAGUUAGGGAUUCAUUCUAACUCUUAUUUGAAGAGCCUAGAAAUUAAUGUAAUAUUUCCUGUACUCAUUUGCAUUGCCUGCGGGCUGGAAGCGCCCCCUGUGAGGGCCACCGAGUUAGGCAGGGAGCUGUAUCCAGGGCAACUCAGUACCAAGUUAAAGCAGGAGGAGCCCUUGUAGAGUGAAGCUGACACUGGGAUUAGGAUCUGUUCUAUGAGAGACCAUGCCCGGCUGAUAAAUUGAAGUGGUAAUUUGGGAUUUAACCAAAUAGAGCAGUAAAUGUAUUAGAAUGAGGAAAAUCCAAGGGGAGCAGAGACUGGG
RNAcentral lists this long non-coding RNA (1557 nucleotides) under Sus scrofa (pig). RNAcentral describes it as "lncRNA (ENSSSCG00015042185.1)". Lineage: Eukaryota; Metazoa; Chordata; Mammalia; Artiodactyla; Suidae. The record is from RNAcentral.